CAUCCAUCCAGAAAUUGAAAAUUGGAGUCUAGGGUCCAGGAUAGAUUUCUGCUAGAGAUUGAAAUAUGGAACCAUCUAAUUAGUCAAAUUCUACCAACGUUUAGCUGUGUGAAUAAGCAAAUAACUUAAUUUCUCAGCAUCCUGGUGCCCCUAUCUUCCAAGUGGGCGGAGAAUAUAUAACUAUAAGGAUUUUUGUGAGGAUUAUUAAUUUCUGUAGGAAAACUUUGUUGCCCAAUGCAUAUUAACUAGAUAACCAGUGUUCUCAGUAUCUUCAUUGCCUUUACAGUUUGCUGGGUCUGUGUCAGCCUGAUGGGAGUAAAUGAAGUUGUCACAGAGUCUGAUAGGAAGGGCUGCCGCGUGAGGCUCCCUUGAUGACCGCAUUCACUGGCUGUUGAUCACUCUGUACCUCUCUUCUCAUCUCCCUGGACUUUAUUCUUUGUGAUCCAUUCCAUCACUUUUAUAUCUUCAAUCCCUCCACUGAAUGAAGCUGAUUGUGCCGUGAUAAAUCACUUCCUGUAGGGUUGAUGACUGAGCCAAGAGGGAAUGACAAUAAGGCUCGGUGGAUUGCUUCUCUUUUGUGGGAACUCCUAAGAGACUCCUAAUCCCACAGAUGACAACUAUCAGUUUUGGAGAAAAUACAUAAAACAAUUACCUGAAGGCUAUGGAUAAAGACAACGAAAAAAGGGUGAGGAAUUUUGGAAGGGAGUCAAUACUUGAAUGAAGGAAAUGACGUGGUUUGAGUUACCAGUUUUUGCAAGUUUUGGACUAAAGACAAAACAUUGAGGUCCAGUAGAAAACUUGUGGUCUUUCUGGUUUAACAAAUCAGAAGACAACUCAAGGCAUUACUGCUGUAGGAAGAUGACAAGUAACCCUGAAAAUUGAAGAACCAGAGAAGGAGGAGCCCAAGCUCUGUGGAUAAAUUCUAUACAAGUCUCUAAAUCAUGCAUAAGGACCAAAAAAAAAAAAAAUGAACUGAGAUUUGAGAUGCAGUGGGUGAGGCAGACUUUUCAGUUUGAAAAUCAAAUCGAGUUAAUUACCUGUCAAGUCAGAAAUACCAACACUCUACAAAGGAAUAAAAAAGAAACCAGAGUCUCCACAACAUAACACUCAACACUAUCCAGGACACAAUCCAAAAUUACUGUUACACAAAGAA
Manis pentadactyla (Chinese pangolin) is the source of this 1153-nucleotide long non-coding RNA. RefSeq lists it as uncharacterized. NCBI's taxonomy places the organism in Eukaryota, Metazoa, Chordata, Mammalia, Pholidota, Manidae. The record is from RefSeq and is a predicted model, not a curated record. The transcript has 3 exons.